GAGACCCUGGUAGACGCUGGUCACGUGAUAUGCUAACAUCUGGCAGAUUUUUAAUUAGCCUAGAUGCGGUUAAUAAAUAUUUGAUAUUGGGAUGAUUUUUCUAGUUUAAUUUAUAAUGUGCAUUUUGUAUGAUUUUCGUAAAGGAAACAAAGAUUUAGAAAUCCGCUAGAUUUUAGCAGAUCACGUGACCAGCGUCUACCAGGGUCUU
This is a non-coding RNA of Paramuricea clavata, 208 nucleotides long. The record is from the annotation of a GenBank genome assembly. Lineage: Eukaryota; Metazoa; Cnidaria; Anthozoa; Malacalcyonacea; Plexauridae.